RNAcentral lists this ribosomal RNA (253 nucleotides) under uncultured bacterium. RNAcentral's name for it is "partial 16S ribosomal RNA". It matches the Rfam family "Bacterial small subunit ribosomal RNA", at positions 524 to 776 of the family's 1533-position model. The record is from RNAcentral.
UACAGAGGUCUCAAGCGUUGUUCGGAAUUACUGGGCGUAAAGGGCUCGUAGGCGGCCAACUAAGUCAGACGUGAAAUCCCUCGGCUUAACCGGGGAACUGCGUCUGAUACUGGAUGGCUUGAGAUUGGGAGAGGGAUGCGGAAUUCCAGGUGUAGCGGUGAAAUGCGUAGAUAUCUGGAGGAACACCGGUGGCGAAGGCGGCAUCCUGGACCAACACUGACGCUGAGGAGCGAAAGCCAGGGGAGCAAACGGG